Molecule: ribosomal RNA, 389 nt
Filed under: uncultured bacterium
Lineage: Bacteria
Description: bacterial SSU rRNA
Rfam family: Bacterial small subunit ribosomal RNA
Source: RNAcentral
AUUGAACGCUGGCGGCAUGCCUUACACAUGCAAGUCGAACGGCAGCACGGGAGCAAUCCUGGUGGCGAGUGGCGAACGGGUGAGUAAUAUAUCGGAACGUGCCCAGUCGUGGGGGAUAACGUAGCGAAAGCUACGCUAAUACCGCAUACGAUCUAUGGAUGAAAGCGGGGGAUCGCAAGACCUCGCGCGAUUGGAGCGGCCGAUAUCAGAUUAGGUAGUUGGUGAGGUAAAGGCUCACCAAGCCGACGAUCUGUAGCUGGUCUGAGAGGACGACCAGCCACACUGGGACUGAGACACGGCCCAGACUCCUACGGGAGGCAGCAGUGGGGGAAUUUUGGACAAUGGCGGCAAGGCCUGAUCCAGCAAUGCCGCCGUGCAGGAUGAAGGCC